This 29-nucleotide non-coding RNA is filed under the name Mus musculus (house mouse). The record is from RNAcentral. Lineage: Eukaryota; Metazoa; Chordata; Mammalia; Rodentia; Muridae.
UGGCUAUGCGUUUUGUUUAUAUCACAAGG